GCUUCGCGGUCGAGUGGUAAGUACAUUUGCCUCUCACCAAUGAGUUCCGGGUUCAAUCCCCGGUCGAGGAGCU
Molecule: non-coding RNA, 73 nt
Organism: Rhamnusium bicolor
Lineage: Eukaryota; Metazoa; Arthropoda; Insecta; Coleoptera; Cerambycidae
Source: the annotation of a GenBank genome assembly